UGCUGCAUGGAGAAGCAGAGGACUGGACGACUGGACGACUGAGCUUGUGUCCCCCGGAGUCACUGCUGGCUGGAUCUCCUGUGCCCUGCUGGAGCCGAUUCCCAGACUGCGAGGUCAACGCUCGCAUACCCCUAACGGAAGGUGCCCGAUCCAACAGCUGACGGCAGAGUCGCAGAGCAUUGAGAAGCGUAUUGAAGGUGCAGAGUGGCACCCUGGAAACCCUGGUCCCGGACUUCUUCAUGUGGAACCGACUUAUUGAAGCACUGUGAGAGUUUUACUUCUCCAGAGUCGCUGGCUCCCUGAAGGGGUCCCGUCCCUAGAGUUGCACUCUGGACAAUGUCAACGAAGGUAGCUCCAUUCUGAGGAACGUGAAGUUAGCGAAACCAGGGGGGCCGCCCGCCCGCGCCACUGCAGCCAGUCCCCACGCCGCGAAGGAGGACCAAGCAUCUGGC
Pungitius pungitius (ninespine stickleback) is the source of this 452-nucleotide long non-coding RNA. RefSeq lists it as uncharacterized. The transcript is spliced from 3 exons. Lineage: Eukaryota; Metazoa; Chordata; Actinopteri; Perciformes; Gasterosteidae. The record is from RefSeq and is a predicted model, not a curated record.